Non-coding RNA from Salvia hispanica, 448 nucleotides. The record is from RefSeq and is a predicted model, not a curated record. NCBI's taxonomy places the organism in Eukaryota, Viridiplantae, Streptophyta, Magnoliopsida, Lamiales, Lamiaceae.
CACAAAUCUGUCUUGAAAAGUUUCAUAGAAGAAAAUACUCUCUCGGCACAAGCUGUUGCAACCGGCAGAAUCAGUGUCAACUCAAUCAAACUGUACACCAAAGAGAAAGCUUUAUCUCGUAGAAACCAAAAUCUUUGCUAAUUUUCCCAGCCCCGAUACAUCACCCAUUGACCAUCAAUUCUUACCCAAAUCGACGAAAGGCGCGGCUGCGGAACUCCGGCAGCGGCGGCAAGCGUAGCGGGGCGGCGGACAAUUGGAAACUUUGGAGUACAAGGCUCGGUGGCUCGCUCUGGGGCGGAUAUCGGUCGGAGCACGGCGGUACAAGGGGGGAUCAAGGCCUGGUGCCGGUUAAGCCCCCGCUGACGCGGGGGCUUGGCAUUGUGUGGUUCCGUCACUUUGUGUGUGUGUUCGUGUCAUAUGAAAAAAAUUUGUGAUCCCGUUAACGAUA